Molecule: small RNA, 443 nt
Filed under: Pongo abelii (Sumatran orangutan)
Lineage: Eukaryota; Metazoa; Chordata; Mammalia; Primates; Hominidae
Description: processed transcript
Source: RNAcentral
CUCCUGGAGGCGGUGCUGAAACUGCUGCCCCUGGACACCUAUGUGGAGAAUCCGGCUGCAGUCAUGGAGCUGGUGCCCAGCGACAAGGAGAGGGGCCUGCAGACCCCGGUGUGGACGGAGUACGAGUCCAUCCUACGUGGGGCCGGCUGCACGAGAGCCCUGGCAAAGAUAGAGAGGUUUGAGUUUUAUGAGCGGGCUAAGAAGGCUUUUGCUGUUGUGGCAACGGGGUGAGUUCCAGCUGGCUCAGACCUGCCCCCAUCCCCACCGGGGCCUCAGGAGCUGCCCCCACCCCCACCGGGACCUCAGAAGCUGCCCCUACCCUCUUCUCAGCUUCUGCCUGGCUGAGGCUAGACGUCCCACAGAGUGGAGAGACAGGGAGGAAUUUCAGGGGGGCAGGGCCCCCAUUUGCCUGAGCAUCAAGUGGGUGAAGGUGGACAGGGUCU